RNAcentral lists this transfer RNA (91 nucleotides) under Nocardia brasiliensis. Its description in RNAcentral is "tRNA-Pro(cgg)". The record is from RNAcentral. Lineage: Bacteria; Bacillati; Actinomycetota; Actinomycetes; Mycobacteriales; Nocardiaceae.
GGCAUCGCCCGCGGGCAGGGUGGGUUGCGCGCCGUUCGGGGCGGCGCCGCUGUUCGGCGCCGAGGUGCCGCUCGGCGUGGCCGCGGUACUG